RNA transcript from Myotis lucifugus (little brown bat), 4102 nucleotides. It is a transcript of the gene named sciellin, with no coding region annotated. Lineage: Eukaryota; Metazoa; Chordata; Mammalia; Chiroptera; Vespertilionidae. The transcript is spliced from 32 exons. The record is from RefSeq and is a predicted model, not a curated record.
CCCCGAGGGAGAAGCCUCUGAACUGCUCAUUAGCGCGAGCAGGUGAAGUGGAAGCGCCACUCAGCCCACUCCAGGUGCUCAGGCGUUUCAGCUGGACCCGCCUCGGGGAAUCAGGCAGGCUGUUCAGACAGAAAGUCCUGGUUUUCAGUCAAGAGAGAUCUGUACUGGAAGGCAGCAUGUCCAAUGUUUCCUUAAGAAAACCAUCUCCCACAGGAAACGCUAUGAAGAGUUCUACUCAGGGAACAACACAGAGACAACAGGGUUUUCUCGAGGUGAACAAAAGAAGGACUUUCUUACAGGAUAACAGCUGGAUAAAGAACCGUCCUGAACAAGAAAGAGAUGAAAAUUAUGGUCGGGUGGUGCUGAACCGACAUAACUCCCAUGAUGACUUGGAGAGGAAAAUAAAUGAGAUAAAUGAGCUAAAAGCCACAAUUAGCCGGUACAGAUCUGAUGACAGUUUGGACAGGAUCUCAGACAGACAUGAUGCUGCUAAAACAUAUAAGGCCAAAACUUUGGAUAACCAACUAACCAAUAGAAAUAUGUCCGCAUUUAGAUCACCAGAAGCAACAAAAAUGCGACCUGGAGGUUUUGUCAGUCUGAACACCACCAGCACCCUCCCUUCCACCUCUGCUACAACCCCUGUAAAGAAAAAGAGACAGUCCUGGUUUCCACCGCCCCCUCCAGGAUAUAAUGCCUCUCCAAGCACAGGAGCAAGCAGAAGGGAACCAGGUGUUCACCCUCCAAUACCGCCAAAGCCCAGUUCUCCUGUUCUAUCUCCUAACCAGCUGAGACGGGAUAAUAGGCAGAUUUGUCCACCUAAAGCAAGUGUAUAUACAGAAACCAACAGAUCUGCUGAAAGAAAUAUAAGUCGUCAGGAUCUGGAGAACAUUGUCAAAGUGGCUACUUCACUUCAGAGAACUGACAAGGGUGAAGAAUUGGAUAAUAUAAUCAAAAUGAACAAAAGCUUGAAUAGAAAUCAAGGUCUUGAUGGCAUCUUCAGAACAACUCCUAAGGCAGAGCAAAUAGAGAAAAGAGCCCAAAGCCUUGACAGUCUCCUCUUUCUGAAUAGCCGGCCAAACAAAGAUGGCAAAGGAAACCAAACUCUCGGCAGUGUCGUUAAAGAAAACCCCAGAACAGUCAAGAAUGACAAAGGAAACCAAGACCUUGGGAGUUUUAUCCAAGUUAAUCAAAGGGCUGACCAGUAUGAGAAAGGAAAACAAGACCUCAGUGGGCGCAUUAAAGUGAGUCCUGAAACAAAUAAAAAUAUCAAGAGGGGCCAGAGUCUUGACAAUCUCAGCAGAGUGACCCCUGAAGUGAGCAGAAGUAACUCAGGUUCCAAAGACCUUGAUAACCUCAUCCAAGUGAAUCCAAGAACAGACAAAAGUGUGCAAGGGGGCCAAAGUGUUGACAGCCUCAUCAAGGUGGCUCCUGAAACAAACAGAACUAACCAAAGGAACCAAGACCUGAACAAUCUUAUCAAAGUGACCCCCUCAGCAAACAAAAGAAAUCAAGAACUCAACAAGCUCAUCAAAGUGAAUCCUGAAACUCUCACCAACAAUCAGAGAAACCAGGAUCUCGAUACCCUCAUCAGAGUGAACCCCUCAGCGGUCCGAGGCAGUCAGAGCCAAGGCUUGGACAAUCUUAUUAAAGUGCAACCGUCCGCUCUCAGGAACACAGCACGAGAUCAGGACCUGGAAAAAUUAAUUGAAGUAAAUUCUAAUGUACCCAAAAAUAAGAAUGGAAGGCUAGAAGGCCAACCAAUGGAUUGACUGACGCUCCCAACAACCGGUCCACCAGAACGACUACCCAUUCUUAUGAAGCUAGAAGAAUUUCAGUUCCAAUGCUGACACCGGGCCUGCAGGACCAAAGGAUACUGUUGUGUACACGAGAACAUAUGUGGAGAACAGUAAAUCACCAAAGGAUGGCUACCAGGAGAACAUUUCUGGAAAAUACAUACAGACUGUUUAUUCAACUUCAGAUAGGUCUGUCAUUGAAAGAGAUAUGUGCACCUACUGCCGAAAGCCCUUGGGCACAAAAACCAAAAUGAUUUUAGAUGAAUUACAAAUUUGCUGCCAUUCCACUUGCUUCAAGUGUGAAAUAUGCCAACGGCCUUUGGAAAACCUUAGAGCGGGAGACAGUAUUUGGAUUUAUCAACGGACAAUACACUGUGAACCUUGCUACUCCAAAGUUGUGGCAAAGUGGAUUCAAUAAUUCUGGCACAUGGAAAUCAAGAUGAAAGCAUUCAUUAAAGAAUUAAAAAAUUUUAUUUUAAGAAUAUGUGAUUUAGAAAAGCUUUUACUCUGAAGAUUGACUUUUGUAUACAAUGAACAAUUCUGCUAUUGCAUAAAUAACAUAAUUGCCUUCAAAAAGGUCAUAUACAUAAAGGGAACCAUCUGUUAUCUGGAUAGAUUCAGUCAUCAAAAAUUCAAGUGGUUUCAGUUACCAAUGUCAAAGGAAUGAUGCUCCUGAUGGCUGUGAGCAUCGUCACCCCAAGCAGGUCCACCCCUGCUCCAUUAAGCUGUGCAUCAUGAUUUCUAUUAUAAACACAUUUCUCAUUGUCUCACCUUUGUUUGCCUAAGAAUUUGGAUUUGUGGACAUUAUUGACAAACUGUCAAGAAAGCAAGAUAUGUUUCCUUCAUGUGCAAAAGAAAUGUUGAUAGAAAUUUUCUUAUACAGUUUGGCCAAUAAUAACAUAAAGUCAUAUGGACCUCAGAAAGUCAUUUGAACUUUCUGGUCUCUCUUUUUUAUCUAUAAUAUGAGGGGCAUUGAAAACUGUCCCAAAGGCCCCUUUCUGCUCCUCAAAUUAUUCUAAAGCAAGUUUUUGUUUGCUCUUUAGAAAUAUAUCUGAAUAUGUGUUUGUUAAUCAUUUUGAACUGGAGAGGACAUCUGAACAGCUUAACUUUCGUGUCAUUAUUCAUUUUAUUGCAGAUAUAAUUUUUAAAAACAGAAAGACAUUGGCUUAUGGGUGAUGGGUAAAAUUAUAUGACAUGUAUUUUACGUAUUAUAAUUUGUUAAUUUUUUGCAUGUGUUUCAAAAUCUGGUUAUAUAAAUAAUCUAUGAGGAAAUAAUGGUUAUGGACUACAAAAGACUUGUUCUUUAGCAUGUUACAUCUAUUCAUAUUACAUAGCACUUUAUAUUUACAGAUGGCUUAUGCAAAUAAAAUGAACUAUCAGUGAUACCGAAAUCAUUUUGUGGCGUGUCUAUAAAUAUCAUUCAUUGGCAUUGAUUUUGUCAAUUACAGUGAUCACAAUUUAUUAUAUUCUAUACCACACUGGUUAACUUAAUUAUUUAGCUUCUAAAGCUAUAGCUUUUACUUUCAAAGAGCUUUUCUUCAAGGAAUUGAAAAUCCAGUAAUCAUAUGUGAGGAACUUAGACUAUUGUUAAAAUUGAGAAAUUGAACUUAUAAACUAUUUUAUGUGUACAUAGCAACUGCUUCUUGAAGGAAGGCUUAUGGAACAAUGAGGAGAGGGUGUCAUUUGGGGGAAGUUUAAAGCAGUUGUAAUCAACUGACAUAAAUUAGGGAGAUUAAAAAAGAUAAUCAUGUAUUUUUCAAAUGUUGAUAAAUUUAAAGAAUUAGUCUUCUGUAUGAUGAUUUCAAGCAUCUGCUCUUCUUAGAGACUAGUCCGUGGUUUUAAACACAAAAUGCUUAUCAAAAUUCAGCAAUGUAUAAUUGUUGUCCUGUAAAAAGGAGCCAGGAAAAAACAAUUAAUAAUAAUUUGAUAUUCAUUAAUUCAUGCUUGAUGAGAAGCAGUGGUAAUUGAGCCAUAUGUUUUAUUGUUCCUUAAUUACAUGCUAUCAGAGUGGAUCAAAAGAAAUCAUUUUCUUAGCGUUGGGAAUUCGUGGCAGAAAAGGAUGGAUGGAAUAGUAUCCCUGCCUUUUAUGUAAAGUGUAUUAACAUCUCAAUGCAUUUGUAGUAAUUAAAAAUCAUUUGAAUGCCAUUUUUAAAGUAGUCUACUUUAUAAUGCUUCAUUUAAAAAAAAACCCUAAAAGGAACAUAUUUCUCACUUUUCUGAAGCUGUUUAAUGGACCCUGUCUUCCACUAUAAUGUAUUCAAUUAAGCCAAAAGCUGUUGUAAAAAUGGAAUAAAUACGGAGUGGAGAGA